CUGGAGGAUGUCUGUGUCUGAUGGAGUGUCAAUUAUGGUGCCCAGUUUGCAGUCAUCUGCAAAUUUUGUCAGCCACAAUCCCCCUAUGUUUGCCUGCACUUCAGAAAAAUAAAUGCCGAAAAAGAGGGGGCCCAGGACUGAGCCCUGUGGGAUACCU
This is a long non-coding RNA of Protopterus annectens (West African lungfish), 157 nucleotides long. RefSeq lists it as uncharacterized. NCBI's taxonomy places the organism in Eukaryota, Metazoa, Chordata, Ceratodontiformes, Protopteridae. The transcript has 3 exons. The record is from RefSeq and is a predicted model, not a curated record.